RNAcentral lists this ribosomal RNA (449 nucleotides) under uncultured bacterium. RNAcentral's name for it is "bacterial SSU rRNA". It matches the Rfam family "Bacterial small subunit ribosomal RNA", at positions 354 to 796 of the family's 1533-position model. The record is from RNAcentral.
GUGGGGAAUAUUGGACAAUGGGGGGAACCCUGAUCCAGCCAUGCCGCGUGUGUGAAGAAGGCCUUUUGGUUGUAAAGCACUUUAAGCGAGGAGGAGGCUACCGAGAUUAAUACUCUUGGAUAGUGGACGUUACUCGCAGAAUAAGCACCGGCUAACUCUGUGCCAGCAGCCGCGGUAAUACAGAGGGUGCAAGCGUUAAUCGGAUUUACUGGGCGUAAAGCGCGCGUAGGUGGCCAAUUAAGUCAAAUGUGAAAUCCCCGAGCUUAACUUGGGAAUUGCAUUCGAUACUGGUUGGCUAGAGUAUGGGAGAGGAUGGUAGAAUUCCAGGUGUAGCGGUGAAAUGCGUAGAGAUCUGGAGGAAUACCGAUGGCAGGCAGCCAUCUGGCCUAAUACUGACACUGAGGUGCGAAAGCAUGGGGAGCAAACAGGAUUAGAUACCCCUGUAGUCC